AUGUCUUCACCGCCGCCAAGCCCGUCUCUUCCGCUGCCGGUCACCUUGUCGCCUCCGGCGACCACCACGGUCGUCGCCCCGCUCCUGCCAGCGCCGGGGUUCUCCGUCGCACCCACCCCCGCCGUCCUCACCUGGGAGGAGAUCCACCUGUUCUUGGCCGGGUCCUACGGGCCACACCCGGCUGCGACGCCCAUCGCCGCCCCCACGCCGCCGUGGCUGUCGUGGCAGCCACCGCACCAGGCGGCCUUCGCCGCGCUCGCCGGGCCGCUGCAGCAGCCGCCAUCCAUCGCCACCACCGCCCAGCCCUGGCUGCAGUGGUAG
This 321-nucleotide ribosomal RNA is filed under the name Triticum aestivum (bread wheat). Its description in RNAcentral is "partial small subunit ribosomal RNA". The record is from RNAcentral. Lineage: Eukaryota; Viridiplantae; Streptophyta; Magnoliopsida; Poales; Poaceae.